This is a non-coding RNA of Schistosoma rodhaini, 45 nucleotides long. NCBI's taxonomy places the organism in Eukaryota, Metazoa, Platyhelminthes, Trematoda, Strigeidida, Schistosomatidae. The record is from Rfam.
AUCCAGCUGACGAGUCCCGAAUAGGACGAAACGUGCAUCCUGGAU